AGGAGCCAUAUGAGGUGAAAAUCUCACGUACGGUUCUGUAAUAGCGAUGGUCACAAUGAUGUUAUCAUCGACUAUGAU
Non-coding RNA from Nicotiana attenuata, 78 nucleotides. The record is from Rfam. Lineage: Eukaryota; Viridiplantae; Streptophyta; Magnoliopsida; Solanales; Solanaceae.